GUAAUAUUUACAGUUAGGGUCUUAUGUGUAUGGUCCAGCAGGUAAUAUUUACAGUUAGGGUCUUAUGUCUAUGGUCCAGCAGGUAAUAUUUACAGUUAGGGUCUUAUGUGUAUGGUCCAGCAGGUAAUAUUUACAGUUAGGGUCUUAUGUGUAUGGUCCAGCAGGUAAUAUUUACAGUUAGGGUCUUAUGUGUAUGGUCCAGCAGGUAAUAUUUACAGUUAGGGUCUUAUGUGUAUGGUCCAGCAGGUAUGAUACUUUAGCCUUCUGACAUCAAAUGUUAA
Molecule: long non-coding RNA, 281 nt
Organism: Mytilus californianus (California mussel)
Lineage: Eukaryota; Metazoa; Mollusca; Bivalvia; Mytilida; Mytilidae
Exons: 5
Source: RefSeq, a predicted model, not a curated record